Molecule: ribosomal RNA, 457 nt
Filed under: uncultured Glomus
Lineage: Eukaryota; Fungi; Glomeromycota; Glomeromycetes; Glomerales; Glomeraceae
Description: SSU rRNA
Rfam family: Eukaryotic small subunit ribosomal RNA
Source: RNAcentral
AGCAGCCGCGGUAAUUCCAGCUCCAAUAGCGUAUAUUAAAGUUGUUGCAGUUAAAAAGCUCGUAGUUGAAUUUCGGGAUCAAGUCGUCGGUCGUGCUCAGGUACGUACUGGCGUCAUUGAUUUCUCCCUUCUGACGAACCAUGAUGUCAUUAACUUGGUGUCAUGGGAAAUCAGGACUGUUACUUUGAAAAAAUUAGAGUGUUUAAAGCAGGCUCACGCUUGAAUACAUUAGCAUGGAAUAAUGAAAUAGGACGUUCGAUCCUAUUUUGUUGGUUUUAGGAUCAACGUAAUGAUUAAUAGGGAUAGUUGGGGGCAUUAGUAUUCAAUUGUCAGAGGUGAAAUUCUUGGAUUUAUUGAAGACUAACUACUGCGAAAGCAUUUGCCAAGGAUGUUUUCAUUAAUCAAGAACGAAAGUUAGGGGAUCGAAGACGAUCAGAUACCGUCGUAGUCUUAACCA